This is an RNA transcript of Nymphaea colorata (pocket water lily), 807 nucleotides long. RefSeq lists it as uncharacterized. The transcript has 3 exons. The record is from RefSeq and is a predicted model, not a curated record. Lineage: Eukaryota; Viridiplantae; Streptophyta; Magnoliopsida; Nymphaeales; Nymphaeaceae.
UGCGAUUUCUCAGCAGCAUUUCGGCGCAGAUAUUUUCCGCGUAAAAUUUGCUGCUUCUCUCUCUCUCUCUCUCUCUCUCUCUCUGUCGAUGGCGGACCCUUACGAGCGCGCGAAAGGAGGGAAAUUGACGUUCAAAGGAGGAGGAGACCCUCUGGAAGAGAAGAGGAGGAAGAAGAAGAAGCAGAAGCUGAAGAGGAAGAAGAAGGAGGAAGGGGAAGAGGAAGACGGGGGAGAAGGAGGAGGAGAAGGAGGCGAGGGCGUAGGCGAGGAGGCGAAGGAGAUGGGCUCUGAAUUGUACACCAUUGACGCCGCCAAGCGGUUGAAGUACGACCAGCUCUUUCCCGUCGAGGCAAAGAAGUUCGGCUACGGCGACCCCUCCCAGAAUCCGCGAUCCGUCGAGGAAGCCCUCGACGAUCGCGUCAAGAAGAAGGCAGAUCGCUACUGCAAGUGAGAAAAGCACACCUGGGUGGACCAAUGGCUGUCAGGCGACCAGUUGCUGGUUCGACUCCCAGGGGUGCUCUGGUCGAUUUUGCUGUUCAGAUUCAAUAGAUCUCAAGGAAAGGGUUUCACAUUGGCUUUACAUUUUGGCAUUCUGGAGAGUCGCUUGUAUUAUUAUCACGUUCUAACUUCAACCAAUCCCUGUUAAACUUUAGAUGGAGAAAGGGUUAUGGAGGGAAUGCCCAUUUGGACAAUUUCAGGACUAUGCUACGUUUCAGCUAUAUCAUAGAUAUGCCCAUAUGGACAAUUUCUGGACUAUGUAAGAUUUCAGCUAUAUCAUAGAUAAAAUAAUUAAAUUUCCCAUUUUCA